ACAGGUUAAGCACACAGGUCUUGGCUAAACUGGAGGUUAGACACUUAGGGCUAAGCUGGAUUUCAACACCUAGAAGACUGCUUUUUAGACAUUUAACAGCCACUUAAUUAUAAGCAACUGUGUUACUCACAAGACCGUGGUCCUGAAACUCCAAACAGUACUGAUGUUGCCCAUGAGGACCCAGGGCUCUCCAUGACCCACCAUGCGGGGGAGAGUCCCUUCAACUUGGAAAGGGGGAGGUGGUGAGUGUUGAGAUGCUCAGUACCCUGGGGUUGCGGUGUCGAGUGACGAGCAUGAGCAACAGCUGGAAGGCUACCAACAGCUGGUGGCUCUGUCUUGAAGGCUGAGCACUCAGCCUUGUGUUGCUUCAGAAAUGUGCACACUAGCCCAAGGGCGGGCUUCAGCAGGACUCUGCAAAAUGGCUUUAAAGAGAUCUGCGGUGGGCUCAUCGUGUUCAGGGGACAUCUGGUAGGGCUGGACAGAGCCCGCGGAGCCAGCCAAGGGGCUCGGUGCACAACUCCUGUGCCAGUAAGACAGACAGUUUAGCAAGCAGGAUAUUUCCAGACGACGCAAACCUCCCGCGGCCGACCCCAGGACUCUGGCCGGUGCCGUGGUAACUGGGUGACUGUGGGCUGUCUCCACAGCAGCGGCCCCUCCUGAUGCCACUCCAGAGUCCUCAUUAGUUUGAGGGACCUGUUUGAGGUUGCCGUGGAGCUGGACCCACAGGGCGGCUGAGGCCAGAGACUCCAGACUCCUGGUGUCAGAAGUAAAUUAAAGGCGGUGAAGAAUGAGUGUGUGAUCCAGGGGCCAGCCGGGACCCCUGGACGAUUGUGGCUUCACAGGGCCAGGCGGCUUUGUUGGCCCUCGUCCAGCUGACAGCCAGCCCCAGUGGGCAAACACCAAGAAAAUUGUGAUGGGGCAGAGGAUUGUUGACCAAAUGUGAAAAAAGAAGGUGACAAGCCUGAGAAAAGGCUACGAAGGGCAAACACAGCAGGACUGCUGACCCCGGAGACUUCCCACGCUGGCUGAAAACCUCAGCCGUCAACCUCCAGGGUGGGCAUCGUGUCCUGUGUAAGCUAAAGUGUCCUACACAAGCCCCGCGGGGGUCUCGACUGGCCUUCCUCAGAGACCUGGGCGCCUUUCCACCAGCCUCAAACCCUAACCUGUCAUGCUUCAGGAAGGGCAGCAUCGAGUGGGCACUCUUUCCAGGAGACCACAGCCAUCCCUGGGGGGUGGUUCUGGGGUGCCAGAUCUCAUGGUGGUCACCCUGGGCAGGACUGAGGGCUUGGCCCAGAGAAGACAGGCUGGGAGGAUGUCUAUACAGAUAAAUGGUCAAAGCACCAUCAAGGCCCACACAGACACGUGGUACCGUCUGGAACAGGCUGGGUGAAGUGGGGAAUGGGUCUUCUGGAAUGAUGACUUAGACUUGGAAGAUGGGUACCAAAGCAUCAGAAGGUCAUGGGAUGAUGCCGAAGCAGUGACAAAGAAAACCUUAAGACUCACAGCCCAGAAAUUAGCUCAGUAAGCAGAGAGGCCAACACUUGGUCCCACCCAGCAAGACAGUCCCACUUUUCCUAAUGCCCAAGGUCGAGGGGCUGGUUUGAAGAUCUACCCCAUGAGCUGCAAUGGUGAGUUGUCUCAUAGCCUCACCCUGCACGGCGUCUCCUCCUGUGAGCCUGGCCCACAGACAACAGGGAAGAGGAGUCAGAAAGGGUCUGCAUGUGGGUAUUUCCUGCACUGAGCUGUGUCGUACGUUCUCAGGGAAGCCCCAUGUGAUGCCGGGGUCAAAGCUGGCUAUGAAAUCCUGGCACUGUGACUGGGUGUAAGACAGGCCUGGAAAUGUCUGCUACAAGACACUCCCUACUCAACAAUCUGAUCUGGAUACACAGAGGGAAGCGAGCAUCUUAUCGAGGAGGUGUUUACUCAGUUGGUAUUUGUUAGGGGCAUCUGUAUGCACAGCAUCUGCUCUGCCCCGGAGCGCCUGCUGUCUGCCUCUUCACUUGCCGUCUGCAGGAGCCUGGCCCUUGACGUGUGACGCUGUGCCUUCUGUGUGCUCAUAGGAAUUGAACAAAACUGAACACUUUUCUUACCUGUGGGAUUUGUUAGAAGCUCCAACAUGCAGAGGUUCCUUGCGAGUCUCCUUAAGCAACGGGGAUGUGGUGAGGGCCUCGGGUGCCUGGCCUGAUGGUUUUAGAACGUUUCUGCAUAUGGACACCACUCCCUCCAAAAAGUGGAGCCUAAUUCCCUUCCCCUGGACAUGGGCUAGGCCUAGUGAUCCCAGAGUAGGGAGUGGGAUGUGGCGCUCUGUGCCCGCUGGGACGAGGUCAGAGAAAGGGCAGCUUCCUCGUGGAUCAGCUGCCAUGUCGUAGGAGGCUCAAAUAGCCUGUUCAAGGCUUGUAUUGGGUGGGUCUGAGGCCUCCCACCCACACACGGCCCUGGCCCCUAGCCAUGUGAAGAGCAGGGGAGACCUGGCCCGGGUCUAACCUCCAGACGAAUGGGCAACCUGGACCCACAGCUUGACCCUAUCCUCUCGAGAGCCUGGAGCUCCCAAAUUCCUGACCCGUAGAAACUGCGAGGCUAGUAAAUGGUCAAUAUUGUUAUGUGUCUUGUUCUGCAGCAGCAGCAGCUAGUCAGCAGGCUUGGCAUAGAGGUUUGGGUUUUGUUCUGGAGGAAAUGGGGUAGGAGGUGGUCAGGUGUGGCACAGGUAUGACAAAGAGCCAGUGAAGAUUGGAAGAUUGGGAGAUGCCUCACAACAGCAGGGCUGGAGGCCGGAGUGUGUAAGCGGCCUGGACUGGGUCGGACUGGAAGAAUAACCCACAUCCAGGGCUCUUCCUUGUGUCUACACCCCAGCUGUGUGGAGAGAUAGUCCUCGUGAAGCAGGCAAACAGGGCUUGAGGGGAAGAAGCUGUGCUCAUCUGUGCUGGUCUGUACAGAUGACAGGAACCUUUGCUCACACUUGCUUAGGCGACCCUUCAUGGUGCUUUUGAUAUAAAAGCAGGAUCUUUUUUUAAAGUUUAUUUAUUUUGAGAGAAAGGAGGGGAGAGAGAGAGAGGGAGAGGGAGAGGGCAUGCGCGUGGUCAUGUGAGUGAGAGAGGGGCAGAGAGAGAGGGAGAGAGAGAAUCCCAAGCAGGUUCCGCGCUGUCAGCACAGAGCCCAACACGGGGCUCAAACUCACAAACGGUGAAAUCAUGACUCGAGCCGAAAUCAAGAGUUGGAUGAUUAACCGACGAAGCCACGUGGGCGUCCCUGAAACCAUGUUCUUAAUACUCAUGCCUAAUUAUUUUAAUAAAGAAAUAAGAAUAUGUUUGUGGUUGUGCGGAGGCCACAGGACUGGCAGACAGCUCCCAGAGGCCCCAGAGGACUAAGGGCAGAAAGAGGGCAGAGGAGCCCAGCAGAAAGUCAGAGAAGCAGGGAUGCUCGGGUCCCCUGAGGGGGAGGCCCCUACUCGGGGAUUAGUCUGGGAGAAGGCAGGCCGCCGGGCAGAGCACACGUGGGAGCAGCAGGCUGCUGGCGGGCUGUGGGACACUGCGUUGCUCUACAAAACUGGGAGCUCCUUGAAAUAUUAAACGCAGAGCUACACACGACGACCCAGCAAUCCCAGUCGUAGGCAUAAUCCUGAGAGAAAUGAAGAUGUAUGUCCACACAAAAACUUGUAUAUGGCAUUAUUCAUAAUUGCUGAAAAGUAGGAAAGACCCAAAUGUUCAUCCGCAGAUGGAUAAACAAAACACGGUCCAUCAACCCCAUGGAAGAUCAUUCAGCAAAGAAAUGAGGCGCUGACGGGCGUGAGCACGCGGGCGAACCCUGACGUGUGUUCUGUGGGAGACGCCAGACACAAACCACAUACUGUAGGGCUCUGUCCGUAUGAAGGGCCC
Long non-coding RNA from Felis catus (domestic cat), 3872 nucleotides. RefSeq lists it as uncharacterized. NCBI's taxonomy places the organism in Eukaryota, Metazoa, Chordata, Mammalia, Carnivora, Felidae. The transcript is spliced from 3 exons. The record is from RefSeq and is a predicted model, not a curated record.